CCUACGGGUGGCAGCAGUGAGGAAUAUUGGUCAAUGGGCGAGAGCCUGAACCAGCCAAGUCGCGUGAAGGAUGAAGGAUCUAUGGUUUGUAAACUUCUUUUAUAUGGGAAUAAAGUGAGGAACGUGUUCCUUUUUGUAUGUACCAUAUGAAUAAGCAUCGGCUAACUCCGUGCCAGCAGCCGCGGUAAUACGGAGGAUGCGAGCGUUAUCCGGAUUUAUUGGGUUUAAAGGGUGCGUAGGUGGUUCAUUAAGUCAGCGGUGAAAGUUUGUGGCUCAACCAUAAAAUUGCCGUUGAAACUGGUAGACUUGAGUAUAUGUGAGGUAGGCGGAAUGCGUGGUGUAGCGGUGAAAUGCAUAGAUAUCACGAAGAACUCCGAUUGCGAAGGCAGCUUACUAAACUAUAACUGACACUGAGGCACGAAAGCGUGGGGAUCAAACAGGAUUAGAUACCCUGGUAGUC
This 460-nucleotide ribosomal RNA is filed under the name uncultured bacterium. RNAcentral describes it as "partial 16S ribosomal RNA". It matches the Rfam family "Bacterial small subunit ribosomal RNA", at positions 338 to 795 of the family's 1533-position model. The record is from RNAcentral.